This 347-nucleotide long non-coding RNA is filed under the name Lonchura striata (white-rumped munia). RNAcentral describes it as "domestica (Bengalese finch) lncRNA (ENSLSDG00000010316.1)". The record is from RNAcentral. Lineage: Eukaryota; Metazoa; Chordata; Aves; Passeriformes; Estrildidae.
UCUUAAUAGCAGAAUCAUUCUAAGACUUCUCUGAUUCAUUUUAUAUUUUGCAGAUUACAGUUUUGGAGUCAUCAGUAGGAGAGAACCCAGCAAACUGACAGACUUGAAAUCAUGUCCUUUGAUUGUAAUUGACAGGGAAAGCAUUUAAGGGAAGACCAUGUUAAGGGGUGGAUUUUAUACUUUGAUCUGAAGAAGCUGGGAUUCCCAGAAGAGCUCAUCUCUUUGAGGAUGGAGACACAUUGUGGCAUUGGCAAUACUUUCAAACGUCUGUUUAAUCCAUUCUGUCAGCAGUCUCACGAGCUGAUGCCUCUGUUUGGGUUUGUGUUGAUUCUUUGGCCAAGCCUUAA